AUUGAACGCUGGCGGCAGGCCUAACACAUGCAAGUCGAACGGUAGCACAGAGAGCUUGCUCUCGGGUGACGAGUGGCGGACGGGUGAGUAAUGUCUGGGAAACUGCCCGAUGGAGGGGGAUAACUACUGGAAACGGUAGCUAAUACCGCAUAACGUCGCAAGACCAAAGUGGGGGACCUUCGGGCCUCACACCAUCGGAUGUGCCCAGAUGGGAUUAGCUAGUAGGUGGGGUAAUGGCUCAGCGAGGCGACGAUCCCUAGCAGGUCUGAGAGGAUGACCAGCCACACUGGAAGUGAGACACGGUCCAGACUCCUACGGGAGGCAGCAGUGGGGAAUAUUGCACAAUGGGCGCGAGGCUGAUGCAGCCAUGCCGCGUGUAUGAAGAAGGCGGUAGGGUUGUAAAGUACUUUCAGCGGGGAGGAAGGCGGUGAAGUUAAUAACUUCACCGAUUGACGUUACCCGCAGAAGAAGCACCGGCUAACUCCGUGCCAGCCGCCGCCGUAA
This 504-nucleotide ribosomal RNA is filed under the name uncultured bacterium. RNAcentral's name for it is "partial 16S ribosomal RNA". It matches the Rfam family "Bacterial small subunit ribosomal RNA", at positions 29 to 523 of the family's 1533-position model. The record is from RNAcentral.